AAUGUUACUUUUGAUCCUCUUAUAUGAAAAAAAACUAAGAUAAUUGAAGAAAAAAAUGUGUGAAGUAUGCAUAAGACUUGGCUAGAAGCCUCAUUGAAACAUAAAUUUGUAUACAUGUAUGAUGGUGUGUGACUAUGUGGAUGUGUUCCUAGUCCUCUAAUGGUGGUGGAUGAUGGAGGCCCACCGCAUGCACCAUUUCUACUCGGGAAGCAGCAAAAUGUGAAACAAUUUGGCAAGGUUGCCAACCCCAUGCACCACUUCCAAAUUCUCACCAAAAUGCCUUUUCUCUUAACGUCCUCCUUCUACUGUAUGACACCUAUUAAUUGAAAAAAUAACCAAAUCCCAGACAAGACAAGUUAGUCGCCGCAUCCAAAAUUUUAAAAACUUUCAUGGUCGCAGCAUGCAGCGAUGUUAGGUCUCUGCAGUCGCCUCAUGCAACUUUAAAAAAAUUUGCUUAAGUUUAAAAACCUACUGUUGAUCACAUUUGAUCAAUGGUCAAUCAUAUUUCGUCGCAUCCAUUUUGAAUGCGGCGUUCUGACACUUCCAAAAUUUUUUCUACGCCGAUUUGUUAUUUGCAGCAUUCACAAUUCAAAAAAAAAAAUUUUUUUGUGCAACUUUAAGAACCAACCACUGAUCAAAUUUGAUCAACGGUCAAUCAUGUCUCGCCGCAUCCAUUUUCGGAUGCUGCAUUUUGACAGACUGGAAGCAUUUUUUUUUUAAAAAAUUGUUAAGCUGCAUUCUAGCAUAAAAGAAAAAAGGCAAAAACAAAUUGGAUUUUCUGUAUGCCGAUUUUCUCAAUUGCAGCGACCCUUAUUUCAGAACACACUCCUACAGAACACCACUUUUCUGAUGUUUUGGUAUAUUAACAAUAUUUGGAGAAAUUCGCUGUCACUUGGAGUGGUGGAAUUUCUUUUUUCAGAUCAAAUUUUCAGAGACUUUUGUGUUUCAUGAUAAAAUUGUGUGGAUUACUCUCAAUUCUUUAGCUUACAAUAGCCAUGUGCUUUUACUGGAUAGACUUAAUUACUACUGUGAAUUCUAGGCAGUGCUAGCAACUCAGCAAACAUGAAUAAUUGGUUGGACAUAUGUGAAAUUUUUUUGACACCUCUAUCCUGUUUCCAAUGAUGAAUACGCAUGUUAGAAAGUCUCAGGAAAACAAUCAACUGGCCUUGUACCAAAAUGGACCCCCUACAUUGAGUUUUGCAUCAAUGUGAUGGCCAUGCAAUACAACCUGUAUUAAUGUGCCCAACCUGCAAUUGAAAUAGAAAUAUAAGUAGAUGAUCAGUGAGUCAUUGUGUACCAAUUUAGAUAUAGAACUAUGAAAGUGAUUAGACCAAAGUGUAUCACGUCAACAACCCCUCCCUUUCAACCAGAAGCAGAAUUUUGAAGCGAGCAUCUUGCAGAUGUCCUUUUCUUGUAGAAAGAUGUAUCAUGCUGGGAGUUGAUAAUCGUUUUCUUACCCUGGAUGAUUGAUUUUGUUUUUAACACAUAUAAGUUGCAUUUAGGGUGUCAAGUAUUUUAUGCGUUCUUUCAAAAUAUAAUAUGAUCUGCAAUCCUGGAAAUUGCAUGUAAAGAUGGCCCAUGAGCUUGUGAGACAUUAAGUUGGUAAAAACUUUGCAAGUGGCAGAUCCAGUAAAUGCUGUCUAUAGACUAUGGAUACGUAAUCUGAUGACAAGCUUACUCUUUGUUGUUGGUUAAAGCUUUAGGUCCUAAAUAUGGCCAAAAGUAGUGUUCCCUACAAACUUCCGCAGGGAGCUUGGAUUCAAACUUUAUCUCAAACUUCACUGAGGUAGAAGUUUUAAAAGCAAAGUCAGGCGAUAAAGUUAAAACUGCCUAUAAAGCUGAAGUAAGUACAGAACCCAUUAAAGACUUAAGAUUUAAUCUAAGCUAAUAGAAGUAUGUGGCAAUGAAGUGUACUUACACGUCUAUUACCUAUUUAUUAUAUGAUUUAGGUAUAGGAGAGUGCAGUCUGAAAACACAUGGUCAAUUUACUCUCAUUUGUUUCCUCUGAAAAGUAGGAUAGGCCUGACCCAUCAGAAACAGGUCAUAACUGAGAAGCAUCGGGAGCAUCUGGGGAAAUGAUUUUAAACUGAGAAAUGUUGGAUAGUGACAUAUAACAAUGUCCACGUGAAUUUUGGUCUUUAAACUUCUUUUGCCAGAAAGAUUUUAGUUCCCUGCCUAACAUUUUUCUUCAGUGGCUCACAAAAAAGAACAAUGAAUCUUGAAGAUUGAGAUCUGUACAGAGCUAAUAGUCUUUGAAAUUUAGAAUGCUCUCUGACCAUUGUCCCAGAUCCGAUAUCUUAUCAAUUCCUGAAUGUUAAGCAUUUCUGGUAUUGUCUUUUAUCAGAAUUCUUAUAAUGUUUUUGAGUUAAUGAUGACAGCUUGGAAGCUAAAGUAUUAAAAUAUUAACCAUACUUGAGCUUAGGCAGCUUGGAUGAAUGUGACCAUUUAUGUUUGACAAUCUCAAAUUUAAAUUAUAGGAAUGCAGAGAUAAUAUGAUCUUUAAGCUAGGAUGAUUGGUAGAAAUAUUCAUUUGCAAUUUAGUAAUUUUGCGUAUUUUUUCUCCAUUUGGCUGCCCAAAAUAGUAAUGUCAUGAUGAUAAUUUGCUCUUGCUGAUGAUGCAAAGGGACGUGACUGGUGCAUAGAUAAACCUCUUUUCAGUAAAUGUUUGUACUCACUAUACGCUCCUAUAAUAACAAACAUAGAAUCGUAGAACUUCUGAUUGAAGUCUUUGUUAUGUUAUUAUAUUUGGCGGACAAUUUGUUCAUUGAAGGUGGUCCCUUGCUGUCUUUUCUCCAUCAAUUAUGGAAUCCCUUGUCCUUUUUCUGUUUCUUUAGCUUUAGAGGGUGGAGGGGUGAUGGCCUGUGUACUUAGCAUGCAACUUUUCAAAAUUAACAUACUGCUGAUCAAACGUGAAAUUGUUGGAGUAUUUUAGUCUUUUAGAUUCAGCUUUGGCCAUGCUUUGAGUGGUACAUUUGGACAAUGCUACAUUUUACACAGGCAUGCAAUUUUGUCUAUUUACUUUAAGAUUUCAAUGAUAGAGUUUAAUCUAGAAUAGUCUUUUUACUCAUUUGUAAGAGCACAUGCAUAGCAUGCCAUGCACAUAAUAUGUGUUUGCAAUUGCUUCCACUUCCCUGCAAAUGGUAUGGAAGAAUGUACUAGUCAAGCAUUAGAUGCUUCAGUUAGAUUGAUUCUUCAUUUCUUCCUUAAAUGUUAAUUUCGAAUGGAUUUUUCAUGUUUUUCUUUUUAUGUCAUAUUUCUUCUUGGAAUUGCUGGAGUUCCAUGGUUGCAAUGGUAUUUGUGCAGGAAAAUGACCAAUUUCAUCGCUAAACUUUUUUACUAGUGCUGACUUAGUCCCUAACUUUUAUUCUUAGCCAAUUUGAUACAUUAACUCAUUUUGCAGUUCCAAUUAAGGAUCUCCGUGGCAGCACCACCACCUAAAAUCGAUCUGGCUCCUAAUUGACUAACUAAAUAGGGGUUAUGUUGGGAACGCCACAAAUGGGACUGUAAUAAAUCAACUAAAUCGUAUAAAAAACCACGAGUAAACUUUAAAAAUGUUUAUCUGGUGAUUUUUUACACAAUUUAAAAGUUUUAUCUGGUGGUUUUUUAUACGAUUUACUUGUUUUAUUAUAGUCUCGUAAGUGACAUUUCCAUAAUACCCCUAUUUAAUUAGUCAAUUAGGAAAAAGAUUGGUUUUAGGUAGUGGUGCCACUGCGAAGGUCCUUAAUUGGAAUUGCAAAAUAAAUUCAAGUAUCAAAUUGGUAAGAAACGAAAUUUAGGGACAACAUUGGCAUUAGGAAAAAAAGUUUAGGGACGAAAUUGGCCAUUUUCCCCAAGUAUACUACUCAAAGCUGCUGCUUGGCCAUUCUCAUGUUGGAUACUACUUGUUCAGGCAUGCAAAAAGCUCAACAAAAUUGAGCUCUCAGAUUGCGAGAUGUAUGCUUCUUGUGAGCCUUGCCCCAUGUGCUUUGGUGCAAUCCACCUUUCUAGAAUUAAGGUUCUUUUCUCUUUUCAUGUCAUCUUUCCUGGUGGGUUCAUGAUUUACAUUUAGGCCCU
RNAcentral lists this long non-coding RNA (4053 nucleotides) under Coffea arabica (coffee). Its description in RNAcentral is "long non-coding RNA (CARA_LNC001946)". Lineage: Eukaryota; Viridiplantae; Streptophyta; Magnoliopsida; Gentianales; Rubiaceae. The record is from RNAcentral.